This 72-nucleotide transfer RNA is filed under the name Camelus ferus (Wild Bactrian camel). It matches the Rfam family "tRNA". From Rfam's summary of the family: Transfer RNA (tRNA) molecules are approximately 80 nucleotides in length. Lineage: Eukaryota; Metazoa; Chordata; Mammalia; Artiodactyla; Camelidae. The record is from Rfam by way of RNAcentral.
GAGAGUAUAGUUCAAUGGUAGAGCGUAUGCUUAGCAUGCACAAGGUCCUGGGUUCAAUCCCCAGUACCUCCA